ACUCCUACGGGAGGCAGCAGUUGGAAUAUUGCACAAUGGGCGAAAGCCUGAUGCAGCAAUCCCGCGUGAGUGAUGAAGGCCCUCGGGUCGUAAAGCUCUUUCAGCAGGGAAGAAUCACUGACGGUACCUGCAGAAGAAGCACCGGCUAACUACGUGCCAGCAGCCGCGGUAAUACGUAGGGUGCAAGCGUUGUUCGGAAUCAUUGGGCGUAAAGCGCGUGUAGGCGGUGAGUUAAGUCUGAUGUGAAAGCCC
Molecule: ribosomal RNA, 252 nt
Filed under: uncultured bacterium
Lineage: Bacteria
Description: partial 16S ribosomal RNA
Rfam family: Bacterial small subunit ribosomal RNA
Source: RNAcentral